This 484-nucleotide ribosomal RNA is filed under the name uncultured bacterium. RNAcentral's name for it is "partial 16S ribosomal RNA". It matches the Rfam family "Bacterial small subunit ribosomal RNA", at positions 30 to 507 of the family's 1533-position model. The record is from RNAcentral.
AUUGAACGCUAGCGGGAUGCUUUACACAUGCAAGUCGAACGGCAGCGCGGACUUCGGUCUGGCGGCGAGUGGCGAACGGGUGAGUAAUGUAUCGGAACGUGCCCAGUAGCGGGGGAUAACUACGCGAAAGCGUAGCUAAUACCGCAUACGCCCUACGGGGGAAAGCAGGGGAUCGUAAGACCUUGCACUAUUGGAGCGGCCGAUAUCGGAUUAGCUAGUUGGUGAGGUAACGGCUCACCAAGGCGACGAUCCGUAGCUGGUUUGAUAGGACGAACAGCCACACUGGGACUGAGACACGGCCCAGACUCCUACGGGAGGCAGCAGUGGGGAAUUUUGGACAAAGGGGGCAAGCCUGAUCCAGCCAUCCCGCGUGUGCGAUGAAGGCCUUCGGGUUGUAAAGCACUUUUGGCAGGAAAGAAACAUCGCGGGCUAAUACGCCGUGGAACUGACGGUACCUGCAGAAUAAGCACCGGCUAACUACGUG